RNAcentral lists this small RNA (113 nucleotides) under Arabidopsis thaliana (thale cress). RNAcentral describes it as "ATSL167580". The record is from RNAcentral. Lineage: Eukaryota; Viridiplantae; Streptophyta; Magnoliopsida; Brassicales; Brassicaceae.
UAAGGUGAGUGUGUGACCAUGAGCUUAUCCGAGCGUUUGGGUUGUAUGAUUUGUUUUGUGUGAUGAUAUGUAGGUGUGGUGAAUGUGUUUUUAGGUGAAUUGUUUAAUGAGUG